RNAcentral lists this transfer RNA (75 nucleotides) under Ruminococcus sp. Its description in RNAcentral is "tRNA-Gln". It matches the Rfam family "tRNA". From Rfam's summary of the family: Transfer RNA (tRNA) molecules are approximately 80 nucleotides in length. Their secondary structure includes four short double-helical elements and three loops (D, anti-codon, and T loops). The record is from RNAcentral. RNAcentral also lists the same sequence under 7 other names. Lineage: Bacteria; Bacillati; Bacillota; Clostridia; Eubacteriales; Oscillospiraceae.
UGCGGAAUGGUGUAAUUGGCAGCACAGCAGACUCUGACUCUGUUAGUAGGGGUUCAAGUCCCUUUUCCGUAGCUA